GAUGAACGCUGGCGGCGUGCUUAACACAUGCAAGUCGAACGGAAAGGCCCUGCUUGCAGUGCACUCGUGUGGCGAACGGGUGAGUAACUCGCGGGUGAUCUGCCCUGCACUUCGGGUUAAGCCUGUGAAACUGGGUCUAAUACCGGCCAUGACCUUCCUUGUAGUGCGGGGGGUGGAAGGAUAUAUCGGUGUGGGAUGAGCUCGCGGCCUAUUAGCUUGUUGGUGAGCUAAUGGCUUACCAAGCCGUCGACUGAUAGCCGGCCUGAGAGGGUGGACGGCCACAUUAGUCCUGAGGGAGGGCCCAGACUCCAACGUGAGGCAGUGGUGGGGAGUAUUGCGCAAUGGGGGGAAGCCUGUUGCGGCGAUGCCGGGUGGGUGAUGACGGGCUACUGGUUAAAAACCUCUUUCGACAGGAACGAAGCUUCGGUGACGGUACCUGAAUAGGAAGCACCGGCUAACUACGUG
RNAcentral lists this ribosomal RNA (465 nucleotides) under uncultured bacterium. RNAcentral describes it as "partial 16S ribosomal RNA". It matches the Rfam family "Bacterial small subunit ribosomal RNA", at positions 28 to 507 of the family's 1533-position model. The record is from RNAcentral.